CCGAGAUAGUAUAGUGGUUAGUAUUUCCGCCUGUCACGCGGAAGACCCGGGUUCGAUUCCCGGUCUCGG
This 69-nucleotide transfer RNA is filed under the name Gregarina niphandrodes. Its description in RNAcentral is "tRNA-Asp". It matches the Rfam family "tRNA". From Rfam's summary of the family: Transfer RNA (tRNA) molecules are approximately 80 nucleotides in length. Their secondary structure includes four short double-helical elements and three loops (D, anti-codon, and T loops). Further hydrogen bonds mediate the characteristic L-shaped molecular structure. tRNAs have two regions of fundamental functional importance: the anti-codon, which is responsible for specific mRNA codon recognition, and the 3' end, to which the tRNAs corresponding amino acid is attached (by aminoacyl-tRNA synthetases). tRNAs cope with the degeneracy of the genetic code in two manners: having more than one tRNA (with a specific anti-codon) for a particular amino acid; and 'wobble' base-pairing, i.e. permitting non-standard base-pairing at the 3rd anti-codon position. Lineage: Eukaryota; Apicomplexa; Conoidasida; Eugregarinorida; Gregarinidae. The record is from RNAcentral.